Molecule: ribosomal RNA, 255 nt
Filed under: uncultured bacterium
Lineage: Bacteria
Description: partial 16S ribosomal RNA
Rfam family: Bacterial small subunit ribosomal RNA
Source: RNAcentral
UGGGGAAUAUUGCACAAUGGGCGCAAGCCUGAUGCAGCCAUGCCGCGUGUGUGAAGAAGGCCUUCGGGUUGUAAGCACUUUCAGCGAGGAGGAAGGCAGUCGUGUUAAUAGCACGAUUGAUUGACGUUACUCGCAGAAGAAGCACCGGCUAACUCCGUGCCAGCAGCCGCGGUAAUACGGAGGGUGCAAGCGUUAAUCGGAAUUACUGGGCGUAAAGCGCACGCAGGCGGUUUGUUAAGUCAGAUGUGAAAUCCC